Long non-coding RNA from Drosophila subobscura, 1497 nucleotides. RefSeq lists it as uncharacterized. The transcript is spliced from 3 exons. NCBI's taxonomy places the organism in Eukaryota, Metazoa, Arthropoda, Insecta, Diptera, Drosophilidae. The record is from RefSeq and is a predicted model, not a curated record.
AGUCAAGAAAAUGCUCGCUGCGCAGCUACAGAUACAACAGUUGCAGAUAUGUACAUGUGUUUGUAUGUGUGUACAUGCCACACACACACACACACAUACACACAGGCAGCACAUACGUGGAUACGUGGGGAGCAGCACAAAAGCGACAUUGCAAAGUUUUCGCUGCAUGCCGAUGGAGGAGGCGAGGCAGCAAUGGUAGCAGUGGCAGAAGGCACAUGAGGCAUCGGCUGAGAGCAGGCUUCUGGCCCGGGACUGAGCUCGCGCGUUCCAUGCAAACAGAAGAGAUGCCCAGGCAACUACACUCGUUAACACAGUUCAAGGGUUUGUUUGCUGGAAAAGCCAAAGUUCGCUGAAAUGGAGGCCACACUAGCAGCAAAAGGAUCAGCAGAAGCUCCACACACCCACAAUUGUUGGGCAGGACAGUACCGCUGUGCAGUGUACACGCCGCGCGCAUUAGGGAACAACAGCAAGACAUGUGGCAUCUGGGAUGCAUGCAAUUCGCUGCUCGGAUAACGGCCGCCAGCCAAGGACUCACAACGGACCUGGCUCCAACGCCUCUUGCUUCAGUGGGCUUCUUCUUCUACAUAGUUUCCCCCGCCCAUCCGGUUGGCUACCCAGCAGCACUUUUGGAAAUGGGUGCCACGAAAAUGCCGCCACUUGUGCGCUCUGGCAAUAAGCAGGAUUCAAUAGACGACGACGACAAGGAGGAGGGAGGGAGUGAGAUGGUGACGCUACCUUUGGCCCACCCAUACAGAAACAGAGAGAAACAGAGACACACACAGAGUAAGAGAGAAAGAGACGAAGAGAGCGAGGACAGAGACAAACACACACACAAAUGCUAUGCUAUGGCCAUAUCCACAUAAUGAAGUAGAGCCACCACGCCACGAGGGUUGCCCACUCGCCGAGCACCCCACACCACGCACACCUCGCCCUCCUCCCCUUGCCAUUUGGAAGAGCAAGCAGUCGCAUGACCAAACACCCAACAAAAAGCCGCAGCAAUAACAACAGCACUGGAAUGGGGCAAAAGGGGACAAGGGACACGGGCAAAAGGAAGAGCAAGAGCAAAGGUUCACAUUUAGCUUCGUUUUGUCAGCCGAACCAACAAGCCCGAAGGAGCAGAAAGAAGCAGAAAGAAACCCAAAAGGAGAUGAAAGAAGAAUAGAAAAAACAGCAGCAGCAGCCGAAGAAGAAGCAACAGAAAAUAACGGAAAUAAACUGUCAACUAUAUCCAUAAAUGAGCAUCAACCAACAUUAAGGAUACAUCAUCAAUUAAUUACGUUCAGAUUAAUUUCACAAUUAUCAUUAUAGUUGCGAGGAAGGGAGACUCACAAAGAGAUUAAAGCGAAUCAUGGCUAGUUCCCUGUUUUGGCAUUGAAGACGUUGGAUGACGCAAACACAAAGGACAUGUCCAAUCAGUGGGUCUAAAUUUAUGCAGAGUUCAUCGAAGGAGGAGCACCACCAAGAAAGCCCAUCAUCGGAGUCCUCGUUGGCUGCCAA